GCAGUUAAAAAGCUCGUAGUUGGAUUUUGGUUAAGAGGGCGCGGUCGGCCGUUUGGUCUGUACUGCGUUGUCUUGACUUCCUGAUGAGGACAUGCUCUUGGUUAACGCUGAGACAUGGAGUCAUUGUGGUUACUUUGAAAAAAUUAGAGUGUUCAAAGCGGGCUUACGCUUGAAUAUAUUAGCAUGGAAUAACACUAUAGGACUCCUGUCCUAUCUCGUUGGUCUCGGGAUGGGAGUAAUGAUUAAGAGGAACAGUUGGGGGCAUUCGUAUUUCAUUGUCAGAGGUGAAAUUCUUGGAUUUAUGAAAGACGAACUUCUGCGAAAGCAUUUGCCAAGGAUGUUUUCAUUAAUCAAGAACGAAAGUUGGGGGCUCGAAGAUGAUUAGAUACCAUCCUAGUCUCAACCAUAAACGAUGCCGACUAGGGAUUGGUGGAUGUUAAUUGAUGACUUCACCAGCACCUUAUGAGAAAUCAAAGUUUUUGGGUUCCGGGGGAAGUAUGGUCGCAAGGCUGAAACUUAAAGGAAUUGACGGAAGGGCACCACCAGGCGUGGAGCCUGCGGCUUAAUUUGACUCAACACGGGGAAACUUACCAAGUCCAGACAUAAGUAUGAUUGACAGAUUGAGAGCUCUUUCU
Molecule: ribosomal RNA, 635 nt
Filed under: uncultured marine eukaryote
Lineage: Eukaryota
Description: SSU rRNA
Rfam family: Eukaryotic small subunit ribosomal RNA
Source: RNAcentral